Molecule: ribosomal RNA, 465 nt
Filed under: Vreelandella stevensii
Lineage: Bacteria; Pseudomonadati; Pseudomonadota; Gammaproteobacteria; Oceanospirillales; Halomonadaceae
Description: partial 16S ribosomal RNA
Rfam family: Bacterial small subunit ribosomal RNA
Source: RNAcentral
CCUACGGGGGGCAGCAGUGGGGAAUAUUGGACAAUGGGGGGAACCCUGAUCCAGCCAUGCCGCGUGUGUGAAGAAGGCCCUCGGGUUGUAAAGCACUUUCAGUGAGGAAGAACGCCUGGUGGUUAAUACCCAUCAGGAAAGACAUCACUCACAGAAGAAGCACCGGCUAACUCCGUGCCAGCAGCCGCGGUAAUACGGAGGGUGCGAGCGUUAAUCGGAAUUACUGGGCGUAAAGCGCGCGUAGGUGGCUUGAUAAGCCGGUUGUGAAAGCCCCGGGCUCAACCUGGGAACGGCAUCCGGAACUGUCAAGCUAGAGUGCAGGAGAGGAAGGUAGAAUUCCCGGUGUAGCGGUGAAAUGCGUAGAGAUCGGGAGGAAUACCAGUGGCGAAGGCGGCCUUCUGGACUUACACUGACACUGAGGUGCGAAAGCGUGGGUAGCAAACAGGAUUAGAUACCCUAGUAGUC